ACGACUGCUAAGACUGGAUAGGAGACAAGAGGGCAACUUCUUGUUUUUAAAAGACCUAGCAAUAGGUAUGCUUAGGGAGGAGCUUGCGUCACAUUAGUUAGUUGGUGGGGUAAAGGCCUAACAAGACUAUGAUGUGUAGCCGGGCUGAGAGGUUGAACGGCCACAUUGGGACUGAGACACGGCCCAAACUCCUACGGGAGGCAGCAGUAGGGAAUUUUCGGCAAUGGAGGAAACUCUGACCGAGCAACGCCGCGUGAACGAUGAAGUAUUUCGGUACGUAAAGUUCUUUUAUUAGGGAAGAAUAAAUGAUGGAAAAAUCAUUCUGACGGUACCUAAUGAAUAAGCCCCGGCUAACUAUGUGCCAGCAGCCGCGGUAAUACAUAGGGGGCAAGCGUUAUCCGGAAUUAUUGGGCGUAAAGGGUGCGUAGGCGGUUAAAUAAGUUUAUGGUCUAAGUGCAAUGCUCAACAUUGUGAUGCUAUAAAAACUGUUUAGCUAGAGUAAGAUAGAGGCAAGUGGAAUUCCAUGUGUAGUGGUAAAAUGCGUAAAUAUAUGGAGGAACACCAGUAGCGAAGGCGGCUUGCUGGGUCUUUACUGACGCUGAGGCACGAAAGCGUGGGGAGCAAACAGGAUUAGAUACCCUGGUAGUCCACGCCGUAAACGAUGAGUACUAAACGUUGGGUAAAACCAGUGUUGAAGUUAACACAUUAAGUACUCCGCCUGAGUAGUACGUACGCAAGUAUGAAACUUAGAGGAAUUGACGGGACUCCGCACAAGCGGUGGAUCAUGUUGUUUAAUUCGAAGGUACCCGAAAAACCUCACCAGGUCUUGACAUGCUUCUGCAAAGCUGUAGAAACACAGUGGAGGUUAUCAGUUGCACAGGUGGUGCAUGGUUGUCGUCAGCUCGUGUCGUGAGAUGUUGGGUUAAGUCCCGCAACGAGCGCAACCCUUAUUGUUAGUUACCAGCACGUAAUGGUGGGGACUUUAGCAAGACUGCCAGUGAUAAAUUGGAGGAAGGUGGGGACGACGUCAAAUCAUCAUGCCCCUUAUGACCUGGGCUACAAACGUGAUACAAUGGUUGUUACAAAGGGUAGCUGAAGCGCAAGUUUUUGGCGGAUCUCAAAAAAACAGUCUCAGUUCGGAUUGAAGUCUGCAACUCGACUUCAUGAAGUUGGAAUCGCUAGUAAUCGCGAAUCAGCAUGUCGCGGUGAAUACGUUCGCGGGGUUUGUACACACCGCCCGUCA
This 1243-nucleotide ribosomal RNA is filed under the name Aster yellows phytoplasma. RNAcentral describes it as "bacterial SSU rRNA". It matches the Rfam family "Bacterial small subunit ribosomal RNA", at positions 156 to 1399 of the family's 1533-position model. Lineage: Bacteria; Bacillati; Mycoplasmatota; Mollicutes; Acholeplasmatales; Acholeplasmataceae. The record is from RNAcentral.